CCUACGGGAGGCAGCAGUGGGGAAUUUUGGACAAUGGGCGAAAGCCUGAUCCAGCCAUUCCGCGUGCAGGACGAAGGCCUUCGGGUUGUAAACUGCUUUUGUACGGAACGAAAAAGCCUUGGCCAAUACCCAAGGUCCAUGACGGUACCGUAAGAAUAAGCACCGGCUAACUACGUGCCAGCAGCCGCGGUAAUACGUAGGGUGCGAGCGUUAAUCGGAAUUACUGGGCGUAAAGCGUGCGCAGGCGGUUAUAUAAGACAGAUGUGAAAUCCCCGGGCUCAACCUGGGAACUGCAUUUGUGACUGUAUAGCUGGAGUGCGGCAGAGGGGGAUGGAAUUCCGCGUGUAGCAGUGAAAUGCGUAGAUAUGCGGAGGAAUACCGAUGGCGAAGGCAAUCCCCUGGGCCUGCACUGACGCUCAUGCACGAAAGCGUGGGGAGCAAACAGGAUUAGAUACCCUGGUAGUCCACGACCUAACGAUGUCACUAGGUUGUUGGUUCGUUCUACUGUACUCUAGUAACGAAGACUAACGACGUGAGUAGACCGCCGUCGGGAGGUACGGCCGCGAGGUUAGUAACGUUAAAGUAGUAAGUUAGUACGGCGUGAGACGUAGACCGAACGGACGACGACGAGGGAGGAGG
Molecule: ribosomal RNA, 639 nt
Filed under: uncultured bacterium
Lineage: Bacteria
Description: bacterial SSU rRNA
Rfam family: Bacterial small subunit ribosomal RNA (bases 1-546)
Source: RNAcentral